This 1364-nucleotide ribosomal RNA is filed under the name Microbacterium sp. MJAU D0016. Its description in RNAcentral is "bacterial SSU rRNA". It matches the Rfam family "Bacterial small subunit ribosomal RNA", at positions 89 to 1460 of the family's 1533-position model. RNAcentral also lists the same sequence under 1 other name. Lineage: Bacteria; Bacillati; Actinomycetota; Actinomycetes; Micrococcales; Microbacteriaceae. The record is from RNAcentral.
GGAUCAGUGGCGAACGGGUGAGUAACACGUGAGCAACCUGCCCUGGACUCUGGGAUAAGCGCUGGAAACGGUGUCUAAUACUGGAUAUGAGCUCUCAUCGCAUGGUGGGGGUUGGAAAGAUUUUUCGGUCUGGGAUGGGCUCGCGGCCUAUCAGCUUGUUGGUGAGGUAAUGGCUCACCAAGGCGUCGACGGGUAGCCGGCCUGAGAGGGUGACCGGCCACACUGGGACUGAGACACGGCCCAGACUCCUACGGGAGGCAGCAGUGGGGAAUAUUGCACAAUGGGCGGAAGCCUGAUGCAGCAACGCCGCGUGAGGGAUGACGGCCUUCGGGUUGUUAAACCUCUUUUAGCAGGGAAGAAGCGAGAGUGACGGUACCUGCAGAAAAAGCGCCGGCUAACUACGUGCCAGCAGCCGCGGUAAUACGUAGGGCGCAAGCGUUAUCCGGAAUUAUUGGGCGUAAAGAGCUCGUAGGCGGUUUGUCGCGUCUGCUGUGAAAUCCCGAGGCUCAACCUCGGGCCUGCAGUGGGUACGGGCAGACUAGAGUGCGGUAGGGGAGAUUGGAAUUCCUGGUGUAGCGGUGGAAUGCGCAGAUAUCAGGAGGAACACCGAUGGCGAAGGCAGAUCUCUGGGCCGUAACUGACGCUGAGGAGCGAAAGGGUGGGGAGCAAACAGGCUUAGAUACCCUGGUAGUCCACCCCGUAAACGUUGGGAACUAGUUGUGGGGACCAUUCCACGGUUUCCGUGACGCAGCUAACGCAUUAAGUUCCCCGCCUGGGGGAGUACGGCCGCAAGGCUAAAACUCAAAGGAAUUGACGGGGACCCGCACAAGCGGCGGAGCAUGCGGAUUAGUUCGAUGCAACGCGAAGAACCUUACCAAGGCUUGACAUACACCAGAACACCGUAGAAAUACGGGACUCUUUGGACACUGGUGAACAGGUGUUGCAUGGUUGUCGUCAGCUCGUGUCGUGAGAUGUUGGGUUAAGUCCCGCAACGAGCGCAACCCUCGUUCUAUGUUGCCAGCACGUAAUGGUGGGAACUCAUGGGAUACUGCCGGGAUCCAACUCGUAGGAAGGUGGGGAUGACGUCAAUUCAUCAUUGCCCCUUAUGUCUUGGGCUUCACGCAUGCUACAAUGGCCGGUACAAAGGGCUGCAAUACCGUGAGGUGGAGCGAAUCCCAAAAAGCCGGUCCCAGUUCGGAUUGAGGUCUGCAACUCGACCUCAUGAAGUCGGAGUCGCUAGUAAUCGCAGAUCAGCAACGCUGCGGUGAAUACGUUCCCGGGUCUUGUACACCCCGCCCGUCAAGUCAUGAAAGUCGGUAACACCUGAAGCCGGUGGCCCAACCCUUGUGGAGGGAGCCGUCGAU